Nothoprocta perdicaria is the source of this 1208-nucleotide long non-coding RNA. RefSeq lists it as uncharacterized. The transcript has 3 exons. Lineage: Eukaryota; Metazoa; Chordata; Aves; Tinamiformes; Tinamidae. The record is from RefSeq and is a predicted model, not a curated record.
GAGAAGACGCUAUUUUUGAAGUCAGCCUCUACAUUCGGGUUUUGCCUGCUCCCCAAAUAGUCCUGAGGAUUUGGAUUUCUGUGUACCAAACCCUGCCACCGCCUGCCCCCAAAAAGGGACAAUUAAAGUGGACAGUUGGAAUUCUGCUAAGACAAAAAAACCCGAAAACAACAAAUGAAAAACCAAAYGAAAAAAACCCAACCCCAGAAGUAAACCUGCAACACCUUGUGGAGAGGGUCAGCCUUUUAUAGCAAGUUAGAAGCAUCCAAAGAUAGAUCUGCAACAGCCACAUUCUGCCUGGAGCUUCCCGGCUCCUGACUCUGAGUGGGGAGAAGGUUUGGCUUCUGCUGCUGCCUUUCCUCAYAUGUUGGCACCUGGCAGCUCAAACAAGACUUGUGACCAUUCGUCYUGGGCAGGACUGCUUGCAUGUUUCCUUCCACAUGCUUUUAACCUUUAUCUCUAUGGGAAGUGAGUGAUAUGUGGCCUUGUUCAAGCAGCUGACCUUACAAACAGUGUGUGCUGUGCUGUGUCGUUUCAUGGAGCCAACUGCUUCUGGUGGCAGCAUGCUGUUUAUUGACAUAGCUAUGAGGGCUGCUACAUAAAAAUAUAACCAAGCCAUACACUGAACUACUUCCUAAAUGCUAUGAGUUUUUAUUUUUUUUAGUAUGUAUAUUGUUAGUAUAUAUAUAAUUUCAGUGGAGGCUGGGAGAAAUGCAGUGUUAUAACCCUUACUAGCUAUAUUUCAGUAAGCACAAGCUUAUUCCAUCAAGUGGGAAUGUGAAGUGUGCAUAUCCAUAUGCACAUACAUGUGAUUGUACCUGUUCCUAAUCUGAUGAAGACUUCUCUUGUUUGAAGUGAAGCAAAUUGUUUUCUAUAUUUAAAAGCAAAGAUGCUCCUGUCCCUCUUCUGUCUAUGAUAUCAUUGCCUGAUAAGGCAGUUCUAAGAGUCUUAUCCUAAGAACUUCCUGCAAAGUACUUUCAUGCCCUCUUAUGAYAGACAAAAUUACAAAUUGCCAAAUCUAUUCAUAAUUGGGGUGAAAUAUAAUAAAAGAUAGGAAGGAAAAUACACAUAGGGCUAUGGAACAGGCUUUUUAUAAAGGAUUGUCUGUCUAUUAUACAUCUAACACCAGAGCCGAAGAGCCCUGGGCAAGGACAGUAUCAGAGCCCUUUGUGCCAGAGCCCUCGUAUGGGCUGGCAGCCUCCUCAGGA